AAAAAGAGAGGAUAAGAUUGAGAAAGAGAGAUAUCAAAAAGAAAAAGAAAAGGAAGAGAUAAGAACAAGAAAGAAAGAGAAAGAGAGGAAGAGGAGGAAGACAAGAAGAAGAAGAAGGAAAAGCUCAUGAAGAACCCUGGAAGCUAAUCAUCACCAUUUUCUACUCAUCAUCUUCACCAUGGAAUUGAUAGUGAGAUAGUU
RNAcentral lists this long non-coding RNA (201 nucleotides) under Lathyrus oleraceus (garden pea). RNAcentral's name for it is "Pisum sativum (pea) long non-coding RNA (PSAT_LNC029204)". The record is from RNAcentral. Lineage: Eukaryota; Viridiplantae; Streptophyta; Magnoliopsida; Fabales; Fabaceae.